This 2777-nucleotide small RNA is filed under the name Pan troglodytes (chimpanzee). RNAcentral describes it as "retained intron". The record is from RNAcentral. Lineage: Eukaryota; Metazoa; Chordata; Mammalia; Primates; Hominidae.
GAGCUGAAGGGCGCGCGGUGCCGACAGGGAGCUUCCUUGGCUGGCAUGGCGGCGAGCGCGCUGCGAGGCCUGCCAGUGGCUGGCGGAGGCGAGAGUAGCGAGAGCGAGGAUGACGGCUGGGAGAUUGGGUAUCUCGACCGGACGUCUCAGAAAUUGAAAGGGCUGUUACCCAUUGAAGAAAAGAAAGAAAAAUUUAAGAAAGCAAUGACCAUCGGAGAUGUUUCAUUGGUCCAGGAGCUCCUAGAUUCUGAUAAGCAAAGUAUUUUGAUAACUGCAUGUUCUGCUCAUGGCUCAGAGGAACAGAUCUUGAAGUGUGUAGAACUACUACUUUCAAGAAAUGCUGAUCCAAAUGUUGCUUGUAGGAGACUUAUGACCCCAAUCAUGUAUGCUGCUCGAGAUGGUCACACCCAGGUUGUUGCUCUCCUUGUUGCUCAUGGAGCAGAAGUUAAUACCCAGGAUGAGAAUGGUUACACUGCUUUAACGUGGGCAGCACGUCAGGGUCAUAAAAAUAUAGUUUUGAAGUUGCUUGAACUUGGAGCUAAUAAAAUGCUACAAACCAAAGAUGGAAAGAUGCCAAGUGAGAUUGCAAAAAGAAACAAACAUCAUGAGAUCUUCAACUUACUUUCUUUUACUUUAAAUCCAUUGGAAGGAAAACUUCAACAGCUAACUAAAGAAGACACUAUUUGUAAAAUAUUGACAACAGAUUCUGAUAGAGAAAAAGAUCACAUUUUUAGUUCAUAUACAGCAUUUGGAGAUCUGGAAGUAUUUUUACAUGGUCUUGGACUUGAACAUAUGACAGAUAUACUAAAGGAAAGGGAUAUAACGUUAAGACACCUUUUGACCAUGAGGGAAGAUGAAUUUACAAAGAAUGGAAUUACCAGUAAAGACCAGCAGAAAAUUCUGGCUGCUCUUAAAGAACUACAGGUAGAAGAGAUACAAUUUGGAGAGCUAUCUGAAGAGACAAAGUUGGAAAUCAGUGGUGAUGAGUUCCUCAACUUUCUUCUCAAAUUAAAUAAACAGUGUGGCCAUUUAAUAACAGCUGUACAGAAUGUUAUUACUGAGUUACCUGUAAAUUCUCAAAAGGUAUUCUACAAAAGUUAUUAAGUGAAGAAAAGUAUGAACACUGAAGAACAUUCCAGAUAAGUUCAUAAUUCAAUAAAUAGUAUUGAUUUGCUGAAAUUACAUCGUUUGUUCUGCAAAAUCACAUAAGAUCUAAAUAAGUCAAUUUGUUUAAUAUUACUCCUUUACAUAUUGAUUUUAAAACUUUGUAUUCUUGCCCUCAAGAAAAAGAAAAUGAGUCAGACCAAAAAUUAAACUGAUCCGUGUAUUGAAUUUACCAUGUGUUCUUUUUUAAAAUAUAAAGUGACAGGAGACCCAAGUGAAAAUGGAAAUAAAACAGUGUGUUAUUUAAAAACCAUAUCAAUAAAAUAUUUUUAAAUAAAUUUAGAAUAGGAAGAGUGUAAGUGGCCGGGCAUAGUGGCUCACAUCCGUAAUCCUAACACUUUGGGAGACCUACGUGGGAGAAUUGCUUGAGGCCAGGAGUUUGAGACCAGCCUGAGCAGCAUGGUGACACGACCCUGUCUCUACAAAGAAUUUUUAAAAAUUAGCUGCGCAUGAUGGCGUGUGCCUCUAGUCCUAGCUGAAAAUUAGCUGGGCAUGAUGGCAUGCACCUGUGGUCCUAGCUAUUCAGGAGGCUGAGGCAGGAGGAUCACUUGAUCCCAAGAGGUUAAGGCAGCAGUGAGCCAUGAUUGCACCACUGCACUCCAGCCUGGGCAACAGAACAAGACACUUUCUCAAAAAAAAGAAAGAAAAAGUGUAAGUGGCCUGCAAAAGCAGCUUAUUUCAUGUGAUUAGGUUUUAGCUGUUUGUCUUAGUGAAAGUUUUUUAAUGCACUUGUUUUCCAGUGAUUUUUAUAUAACAUCAAUUAAUAUGAGAAUCAUCAUUUUAAAAACCUUCGUGAACUGAUUUGUUCAUCAUAAAUGUUAUUACUAAUAUUAAUCUCCAUAUAGAAAGUUAUAUAUACAUAUAUUCAGGAAAUGCAUUUGGCAAGCUCAUUUGAUUAUAUGUUUAUAAAAUUACUUAUUUUUGGUGUCAAUAUUUAUCCUAAACAAAAAAAUGCCUUUCAAUUAUAUAAUCUAAUGUUUAAGAAUGUUGUAUAAUCUUUGUGGAUAUAAAGUUGUAGAAAGUUAUUUCCAUUAUUUAAUGUUGAACUUUUGAAAAUAUUAACAGAUAACACUGGAAUGGGCUUCUCCCCAGAAUUUUACUUCAGUUUGUGAAGAAUUGGUUAAUAAUGUUGAAGAUUUGAGUGAAAAGGUCUGCAAACUAAAAGACCUAAUUCAAAAGUUGCAAAAUGAACGGGAAAGUGAUCCAACUCAUAUACAAUUAAGGGAAGAAGUAUCUACAUGGAAUAGUAGAAUUUUGAAGAGGACAGCUAUUACCAUAUGCGGAUUCGGUUUUCUUCUUUUCAUUUGCAAGCUAACUUUCCAGAGGAAAUAAUCCAAAUAUUUGUUUUAAGUUAUAUAUACACAUCUUAUUGAACCAUCCAAAAAUCAUUGCUUUUAACUAUUUGCAGCACAAUAUAACUUUACAUUCUUUGCCAAUAUUCCAUAGGAAAAAUUUUGACAAUGUGGAGUUUUUUUUUAAAAAGUGGUUUGUUACUUUGACUUAUAAAUACAAUUUGUUAUGUUUAUGUUAAUUGUGAUUAGGCAGUAAAGUAUAAGUAAUUUUUUGGUUUGAUCGUAUGUAAAUCACAUUCAAAAUUAAAGUUAUAUCGAAUA